This is a long non-coding RNA of Arachis duranensis, 845 nucleotides long. RefSeq lists it as uncharacterized. Lineage: Eukaryota; Viridiplantae; Streptophyta; Magnoliopsida; Fabales; Fabaceae. The record is from RefSeq and is a predicted model, not a curated record. The transcript has 3 exons.
CUACCAGAGCAGCUUAUAAAACACAUAGAAGCACGAGGUUGUGUGUUUGAAUGGAGAGACAAAGUAUUUCAGGUAUAUAUCCAUGUCUGGUCUCUGUCUUGAGACUUGGAGAAAAUACUAAUUUAGUUAAGCAAGAGCAUUGAUCACUGAGGUUUUUAUCAUAUAUCAUGGACAGGCCGAAUUGGAUCCCAAGUGUUGGAAAUUACAGGUAGAAGAUAUAAUCCCAAGUGUUACAACAUUGAUGAUAGCGGGAUGAUUCAGCUGGCUCAUUUCUCCCAAAAUCUAAGACAGAUUAAUUUGUCGUAUAGUUCGGUUACAGAUGUCGGGCUGCUGUCACUUGCUAGUAUCAGUUCCCUACAAAGUUUUGUCCCGCUUCACCAGCAGGGCCUGGCUCCAGGAGGACUUGUUGCGGCCUUGUUGACAUGCGGAGGGCUCACAAAAGUAAAGCUCCAUAGUUCGACAAGAUUUAUGCUACCAGAGCAACUUAUAAAACACAUAGAAGCACGAGGUUGAGUGUUUGAAUGGAGGGACAAAGUAUUUCAGGCCGAAUUGGAUCCCAAGUGUUGGAAAUUACAGGUAGAAGAUAUAAUGCCACAUGAUUUUCACUGAUCAUUUGAAGUUUGAGGGAGAAGACACUUGCAUAUGGCGUUUGAUAUGCGAGUUUGCGAAGAAUUUCACGUGUUGCUCAACCAUUUCCUCCUCGUUCCUGGGCCUCCACCUCCACCACAGAGUGAAAUGGAGAAAAAAAAGUGUGAAUUUAGCAAUAAUAAUGGCAACAUUAGCAUUAAAAGAUAUGAAUAAGUAAAAUUGCGUGGAUCAGGAUCAGGAUGAGAAUCAAAACUGAA